RNAcentral lists this transfer RNA (77 nucleotides) under Candidatus Omnitrophica bacterium CG12_big_fil_rev_8_21_14_0_65_50_5. RNAcentral's name for it is "tRNA-Val". It matches the Rfam family "tRNA". From Rfam's summary of the family: Transfer RNA (tRNA) molecules are approximately 80 nucleotides in length. Their secondary structure includes four short double-helical elements and three loops (D, anti-codon, and T loops). The record is from RNAcentral. Lineage: Bacteria; Pseudomonadati; Candidatus Omnitrophota. RNAcentral also lists the same sequence under 1 other name.
GGACCCGUAGCUCAGUUGGUUAGAGCGCUUCCUUGACAUGGAAGAGGUCACAAGUUCGAGUCUUGUCGGGUCCACCA